This 429-nucleotide ribosomal RNA is filed under the name Actinomycetes bacterium. Its description in RNAcentral is "Actinobacteria bacterium partial 16S ribosomal RNA". It matches the Rfam family "Bacterial small subunit ribosomal RNA", at positions 355 to 776 of the family's 1533-position model. The record is from RNAcentral. Lineage: Bacteria; Bacillati; Actinomycetota; Actinomycetes.
UAGGGAAUCUUCCGCAAUGGGCGAAAGCCUGACGGAGCAACGCCGCGUGAGUGAUGAAGGUCUUCGGAUCGUAAAACUCUGUUAUUAGGGAAGAACAAAUGUGUAAGUAACUAUGCACGUCUUGACGGUACCUAAUCAGAAAGCCACGGCUAACUACGUGCCAGCAGCCGCGGUAAUACGUAGGUAGCAAGCGUUAUCCGGAAUUAUUGGGCGUAAAGCGCGCGUAGGCGGUUUUUUAAGUCUGAUGUGAAAGCCCACGGCUCAACCGUGGAGGGUCAUUGGAAACUGGAAAACUUGAGUGCAGAAGAGGAAAGUGGAAUUCCAUGUGUAGCGGUGAAAUGCGCAGAGAUAUGGAGGAACACCAGUGGCGAAGGCGACUUUCUGGUCUGUAACUGACGCUGAUGUGCGAAAGCGUGGGGAUCAAACAGG